RNAcentral lists this small nuclear RNA (296 nucleotides) under Cavia aperea (Brazilian guinea pig). Its description in RNAcentral is "7SK RNA (ENSCAPG00000002221.1)". It matches the Rfam family "7SK RNA". Rfam says of the family: 7SK was discovered as an abundant small nuclear RNA in the mid-70s but a possible function has only recently been suggested. Two independent studies have found that 7SK RNA binds the CDK9/cyclin T complex (known as elongation factor P-TEFb). Lineage: Eukaryota; Metazoa; Chordata; Mammalia; Rodentia; Caviidae. The record is from RNAcentral.
GGAUGUGAGGACAAUCUUGCUGUCACAUCCGUCACCUCAUUGAUUGCCAGAUCUGAUUUGGCUGAUCAGGGUUGAUCCUGUUGAUCUGGCUGGCUACACAGUGUCCCUGCCUCCCUCACUGCCCCACGUGCAUCCCUCCCUGAAGCUGCACACUCGGUAGAAGAAGACAACCACCGUCAAUCCAGGAGGACCUCCUUCUCUGUCAAGGGUAUAUGAGAGCUGUGCUCCCCUAUUAACCCCCAUAGGAUUCUAAUGAUACAGGAAAUAAUGGCAAGAAUCAACACACAGGACUACGU